This 247-nucleotide ribosomal RNA is filed under the name uncultured Parcubacteria group bacterium. Its description in RNAcentral is "partial 16S ribosomal RNA". It matches the Rfam family "Bacterial small subunit ribosomal RNA", at positions 439 to 700 of the family's 1533-position model. The record is from RNAcentral.
UCGGGGAGAAAGUUAUUGAUAGUACCCGAAGAAUAAGGGGUUGCUAAACUCGUGCCAGCAGCAGCGGUAAUACGAGUGCCCCAAGCGUUAUCCGGAAUCAUUGGGCGUAAAGGGUGUGUAGGUUGUCUUGUUAGUCUUCUGUGAAAUUCUUCGGCUUAACCGGGGGUCCGCAGGGGAAACGGCAAGACUAGAGGAUGUGAGAGGUGAAUGGAACUCAUGGUGUAGGGGUGAAAUCCGUUGAUAUCAU